This 498-nucleotide ribosomal RNA is filed under the name uncultured Pseudomonadota bacterium. Its description in RNAcentral is "bacterial SSU rRNA". It matches the Rfam family "Bacterial small subunit ribosomal RNA", at positions 355 to 844 of the family's 1533-position model. The record is from RNAcentral. Lineage: Bacteria; Pseudomonadati; Pseudomonadota.
UGGGGAAUUUUGGACAAUGGGGGCAACCCUGAUCCAGCCAUGCCGCGUGAGUGAAGAAGGCCUUCGGGUUGUAAAGCUCUUUCAGCCGGAAAGAAACGGUCACGGUGAAUAUCCGUGACUAAUGACGGUACCGGCAGAAGAAGCACCGGCUAACUACGUGCCAGCAGCCGCGGUAAUACGUAGGGUGCGAGCGUUAAUCGGAAUUACUGGGCGUAAAGCGUGCGCAGGCGGUUUUGUAAGACAGGCGUGAAAUCCCCGGGCUUAACCUGGGUACUGCGCUUGUGACUGCAAGGCUAGAGUACGGCAGAGGGGGGUAGAGUUCCACGUGUAGCAGUGAAAUGCGUAGAUAUGUGGAGGAAUACCGAUGGCGAAGGCAGCCCCCUGGGUCGAUACUGACGCUCAUGCACGAAAGCGUGGGGAGCAAACAGGAUUAGAUACCCUGGUAGUCCACGCCCUAAACGAUGUCAACUAGGUGUUGGGGAAGGAGACUUCUUUAGU